RNAcentral lists this ribosomal RNA (253 nucleotides) under uncultured bacterium. RNAcentral describes it as "partial 16S ribosomal RNA". It matches the Rfam family "Bacterial small subunit ribosomal RNA", at positions 524 to 776 of the family's 1533-position model. The record is from RNAcentral.
UACGGAGGGUGCAAGCGUUAAUCGGAAUUACUGGGCGUAAAGGGCGCGUAGGUGGUUGAAUAAGUUGGCUGUGAAAUCCCUGGGCUUAACCUAGGGUGGUCAGUCAAUACUGUUGAACUAGAGUACGGGAGAGGGUAGUGGAAUUUCAGGUGUAGCGGUGAAAUGCGUAGAGAUCUGAAGGAACACCAGUGGCGAAGGCGACUACCUGGCACGAUACUGACACUGAGGCGCGAAAGCGUGGGGAGCAAACAGG